CAGUAGCGGACGUGGCUGGUGCGCGGCCCGCGCCGUUCCGCAAUGCGUCCAUUGGAGUUUCUCAGGAAAGGCCAAGUGUUCUGUUUUUCCCCCACAAAUAUAAUUUUCUGCUUACGGUUAGACGUGACCUCGAAAUGGGCAGCCUACUUCAUACCUAUUCCACAUAUAUCAUCUGACAAGUAGAGAAAACAAGGCAUUAAUCUUUCCUCUAGACUUGUGACAAAGUCUUCAGCAGACACUUGAGCUCGACUGACUGACACCACGUCUGCACAGAGGGAUAUUUGGAGGCAUCUGAUGGAUGUCCAAGCUGCUCUUUUCAACGCAAGUGAAUGGUGACUACAGCUGUCAAGCACUUUUCAAGAUGCUCAAAAACACACCUCUUUGAUCCGGGUUCGAAGACCUCCAUGAAUCUGCUGGUACCUCUUCCACCUGAUGUUCGGAGACCACUUACAGGGGAAACAGGAAGAGGCCAUGUUCAGACUGCCUGUAGAUCAGCUAACGUGGAUUGAGCCAUGCAACGUUUUCCGAAGACAGAAGAGAAACUUAAUGAGAGGAGACAGAAGUCCUAUUUAAAAGUAAAUAAGACGGGUAAUUAAUUCUCAGAUCGCACAGUAUCUCAUAUAAAG
This 626-nucleotide long non-coding RNA is filed under the name Sinocyclocheilus anshuiensis. Its description in RNAcentral is "lncRNA (ENSSANG00000026086.1)". Lineage: Eukaryota; Metazoa; Chordata; Actinopteri; Cypriniformes; Cyprinidae. The record is from RNAcentral.